This is a non-coding RNA of Benincasa hispida (wax gourd), 1988 nucleotides long. NCBI's taxonomy places the organism in Eukaryota, Viridiplantae, Streptophyta, Magnoliopsida, Cucurbitales, Cucurbitaceae. The record is from RefSeq and is a predicted model, not a curated record.
UUUCCCUCUCCUUUUUUCCCACAAACGUCGCCUCCAUCCAAACUCACGAACGCCGCGCCUUCUUUUCCGACCGCAAGCACCUGUUCAGCGGUGUCGACUCGACUCCCUUCAGUCAUCUGUGCAACGAAGCAGUCGCUGCCUCUGAUUGUUGAUGAUGUCGCUCGUUAAUCUGCGCUGGUCUUCGUGGAUUGCAGGUCGUUGCCCAGAACCUCGAGAUCCCACAAUCACUUACGCCCAAACCUGAAUAUUUAUAACCAGACGGUCACACAAGGGUGUUUCGAAUCUGUUGUUUCUUGUCGUUUGUGCUGUCAACAAUAAAGGUCGUCAUAACUUGUGGAUUUGGGUUUUGGAGAAGCUUUGAAGUUAAAAGUGUGCUGUCAAGAGGAUUUUGUUGUGGUUUCGACAAGCUUUUGGGCCUAAUUCAAGAUCCAUCUAAGCUAGGAGGAAGAUUAAUUUGCUUGUCGCUUAGACAUAAUUUUUGACUUCGAGGAAAAGGUAAAGAUGUAUCGGCGAUGGCGCAGCGGAAUUCGUGAUCGUGUCACUGGGACUAGACCUUUUCGCUUCCGCAUCUUGAAAUUUGAUAUUUAGUUUUACUGUUUAAAAUUUAUUACUAAGGAUUAUUUCUCUUAUAUGCCUUUGUUAGUCUUUAAAAAUUUUUGGUACCCUAUUAACUGUUUUAACAAUUGCAUUUAACAAACGUCUUUUGAACUUCUCUUAUUUAAUUAGCAUUUAUUUCAAAUAACUGAGCGUCGUUUUAAAUUCUGUUCAUGCAUUUAUUUUAGUAACGACCUUACUUAAGUCCUAGGGGGUCGGGUCGUUACAAAUCUUGUGUUCACAAAUGUUCAUCCUUGAUCAGCAUAGAGAUAUGGUGACGUAGGCGAUCACCGAGAGGUGUAGGCCAAGGGAAGACAGAACCUUAGUUGUGUCCUCAAUGGGAUUGACAAACUUGCGAUGUUCUUUCCCUAAACCCGUUCUCACUCUAAUUUGAUUCACAAGACUUGCCAUCGCAUUGUACAACUUCAGAUUUAUUUACCUGCUUAUUUAUUUACCAUCGCAUUUUACUAUUUACCUGUUUAUUCAUUUAUCAUUGCAUUUUACUUUUCAGCAACUCUCAGUAUUCGUUUGAUUAUGGUCGCAUAUAUCACAACAUUGUCGCAUUAACAUCGCAAUCCACAUGUUCGACCUCAGAUCACUCUGAGAAACUUGUGGGGGAAUUAUACUUGGUUUCAACGUAUAUCAUAUACAUCAUCAAUCCUUGCGGUGGCAUUACAUCCACCGUACAACAAGUUUUUGGCGCUGUUCCUAGGGAAUGGAAACUUUAGUGCUGAUAUUUUUUUGUGAUAUUUUACAGGACAUAUUUUUAGAGUAUAGUGUGCUUAAGCGAAGAGCGGCUGAUGGUGCAUGAGCACUGGAACGGAUCCAGAAUUCGACAGCAACCCAAAAAUCAGAGAACCUUUUGCAGGAGAGCAUGCCAAAAUUGGAAUAAACGUCGCAGAGAUAUGGUAAACAAUAACAACGAUAGGCCUGAAGUACAUCAAGGAAUGAAUCGACUACCGCAAGACCCAAUAUUCUUGGCUGUUGAUCGCAAUAUUCCUACGAGGAACUAUGUGGCGCCCAAUUUAUAUGAUUUUUUUCCAGGUAUCGCAAGACCUACAAUGGAAGAAGACGCCAGGUUCAAAAUUAAACCUGUUAUUCUCCAGAUGAUACAAAACGCGGGUCAAUUUGGAGGCUUGCAAGGAGAAGACCUUCAUGCACACCUCACAAGUUUUGUCGAGAUGUGCAAUACAUUCUCCAUUCCUUGUGUGACAACCGAAGGCAUCAGACUCUAUCUAUUUCCUUAUACACUUAGAGAUGAAGCUAAGAAGUGGGCCUAUUCUUUGGACAAAAGCCUCCCUUUGGCGGCUUUUGUCCUAAACCUUUGAAGCAUCAUUACGAAGCUAGAUGUCACAUGGGGUUCAUAUUAGUUUUGCUAAAACCUUAUUGGAUGU